RNAcentral lists this ribosomal RNA (460 nucleotides) under uncultured bacterium. RNAcentral's name for it is "partial 16S ribosomal RNA". It matches the Rfam family "Bacterial small subunit ribosomal RNA", at positions 338 to 795 of the family's 1533-position model. The record is from RNAcentral.
CCUACGGGAGGCAGCAGUGAGGAAUAUUGGUCAAUGGACGAGAGUCUGAACCAGCCAAGUAGCGUGAAGGAUGACUGCCCUAUGGGUUGUAAACUUCUUUUAUAUGGGAAUAAAACAGGGUAUGCCUACCCCCUUGUAUGUACCAUAUGACUAAGGAUCGGCCAACUCCGUGCCAGCAGCCGCGGUAAUACGGAGGAUCCGAGCGUUAUCCGGAUUUAUUGGGUUUAAAGGGAGCGUAGGUGGGUUGAUAAGUCAGUUGUGAAAGUUUGCGGCUCAACCGUAAAAGUGCAGUUGAAACUGGCAGUCUUGAGUACAGUAGAGGUGGGCGGAAUUCGUGGUGUAGCGGUGAAAUGCUUAGAUAGCACGAAGAACUCCGGUUGCGAAGGCAGCUCGCUGGACUGCAACUGACACUGAGGCGCGAAAGUGUGGGUAUCAAACAGGAUUAGAUACCCCAGUAGUC